GCUUACCUGUCCCGACGGAAUUGGAUGGCCUCGCUGCUCGUUUUCAUCUCGUGCCCUCUCUGGGCAUGGGAUGAACUCGUUGGUGCUUUGCAUGUUCCUUUGUAAGCCAUUGGCUUAUCUCUCGGCCCAUGCUCUGUUGCCUGACCCUCGGAUGCUGAAAAUUCAGUGGGCAACGGGGGGUUGUGAAACCCUUUUGAUAAGCCCAAGCCCAGCGCUCGUCGCUCAAACCGAAAGACGUUGUGGCUCGCCUUGGCGUUCUUGAACCCGCGGGUUCUUGUGACGGCCAUGCGUUGUCCCAAUCGUCCUGAGGAAAGCUACCUGGUUGAUCC
This 329-nucleotide unclassified non-coding RNA is filed under the name Celastrus australis. Its description in RNAcentral is "partial contains external transcribed spacer and 18S ribosomal RNA". The record is from RNAcentral. Lineage: Eukaryota; Viridiplantae; Streptophyta; Magnoliopsida; Celastrales; Celastraceae.